AACGUAGGUCACAAGCGUUGUCCGGAAUUACUGGGUGUAAAGGGAGCGCAGGCGGGAAGACAAGUUGGAAGUGAAAUCUAUGGGCUCAACCCAUAAACUGCUUUCAAAACUGUUUUUCUUGAGUAGUGCAGAGGUGGGCGGAAUUCCCGGUGUAGCGGUGGAAUGCGUAGAUAUCGGGAGGAACACCAGUGGCGAAGGCGGCCUACUGGGCACCAACUGACGCUGAGGCUCGAAAGUGUGGGUAGCAAACAGG
This 253-nucleotide ribosomal RNA is filed under the name Faecalibacterium prausnitzii. RNAcentral describes it as "partial 16S ribosomal RNA". It matches the Rfam family "Bacterial small subunit ribosomal RNA", at positions 524 to 776 of the family's 1533-position model. Lineage: Bacteria; Bacillati; Bacillota; Clostridia; Eubacteriales; Oscillospiraceae. The record is from RNAcentral.